RNAcentral lists this ribosomal RNA (531 nucleotides) under uncultured Thermoplasmatales archaeon. RNAcentral describes it as "bacterial SSU rRNA". It matches the Rfam family "Archaeal small subunit ribosomal RNA", at positions 339 to 870 of the family's 1478-position model. Lineage: Archaea; Methanobacteriati; Thermoplasmatota; Thermoplasmata; Thermoplasmatales. The record is from RNAcentral.
GCGCGAAAACUUCGCACUGUGCGAAAGCACGACGAGGGAAUCCCAAGUGUAUGCACUUUUUGUGUAUACUGUUUCUCUGUCUAAAAAGCAGAGAGAGUAAGAGCUGGGUAAGACGGGUGCCAGCCGCCGCGGUAAUACCUGCAGCUCGAGUGGUGAUCGUUAUUAUUGGGCCUAAAACGUCCGUAGCCGGUCUUGUAAAUGCCUGGGUAAAUCGUAUGGCUUAACCAUACGAAUUCUGGGUAGACUGUUAGACUUGAGACCGGGAGAAGCUAGAGGUACUCCUGGGGUAGAGGUGAAAUUCUGUAAUCCUAGGGGGACCACCAGUGGCGAAGGCGUCUAGCUAGAACGGGUCUGACGGUGAGGGACGAAGCCCUGGGGCGCAAACGGGAUUAGAUACCCCGGUAGUCCAGGGUGUAAACGCUGCUUGCUUGAUGUUAGUCUGGCUCCGAGCCAGAUUAGUGUCGGAGAGAAGUUGUUAAGCAAGCUGCCUUGGGAAGUCGGCCGCGAAGACUGAAACUUAAGGAAUUGGAC